This 449-nucleotide ribosomal RNA is filed under the name uncultured bacterium. RNAcentral describes it as "bacterial SSU rRNA". It matches the Rfam family "Bacterial small subunit ribosomal RNA", at positions 28 to 478 of the family's 1533-position model. The record is from RNAcentral.
GAUGAACGCUGGCGGCGUGCUUAACACAUGCAAGUCGAACGGGAAACUUUUCAUUGAAGCUUCGGCAGAUUUGGUCUGUUUCUAGUGGCGGACGGGUGAGUAACGCGUGGGUAACCUGCCUUAUACAGGGGGAUAACAACCAGAAAUGGUUGCUAAUACCGCAUAAGCGCACCGGACCGCAUGGUCCGGUGUGAAAAACUCCGGUGGUAUAAGAUGGACCCGCGUUGGAUUAGCUAGUUGGCAGGGUAACGGCCUACCAAGGCGACGAUCCAUAGCCGGCCUGAGAGGGUGAACGGCCACAUUGGGACUGAGACACGGCCCAGACUCCUACGGGAGGCAGCAGUGGGGAAUAUUGCACAAUGGGGGAAACCCUGAUGCAGCGACGCCGCGUGAAGGAAGAAGUAUCUCGGUAUGUAAACUUCUAUCAGCAGGGAAGAUAGUGACGGUAC